Long non-coding RNA from Numida meleagris (helmeted guineafowl), 8541 nucleotides. RefSeq lists it as uncharacterized. NCBI's taxonomy places the organism in Eukaryota, Metazoa, Chordata, Aves, Galliformes, Numididae. The record is from RefSeq and is a predicted model, not a curated record. The transcript is spliced from 3 exons.
UACACAACAAAGCCUCAGCUGAUUGAUGCUAAAAUAAGCAGUUAUGCAACAAGUAAGAAAUACGAUCUCCGGGGAAGGAGCCAGCAACCUUUUCCUUUCAUCUUCACUCACCAGUGCUUAUUUUUGCAUACCUAAGGGAAAAAAUAGACAACCUUUUGACAUGGAGCGCCGAUGUUCAAUUAUCAGAUGCUGAAGUGAAGGAACCCGCAGGGCUCAGUGCUGUCCCUACAAGGGUCCCCCCCGAAGCACCAUGGUGCCGCUGCUCCCAUCGCCUCGGGGCUGCUGCUGGGCUGUGGAGGGAGCAGAGCGCGGCACAACCUGUAGGGAAUACAUUGAUUUCGUGGGUGAGUGGGCUCAGUGUACAGCUGUGGUUACAGAACUGCUCAAGCUUCCGAAGAAUGAGAGUACCAUGGAAUCAUAGAACGGCUGGGCAUGAAGGGACCUGGCUGAUGCCCUAGUCCCAGUGCGCUGCCCUAGGCCGGGUGCCCUCCAGCUUGGGGUGCCCAGUGCCCCAUCCAUGGCCUUGAGCACCUCCAGGGAUGGGGCAUCCUGUGUAAGAGUUCAUCUCAGAACACUUGUGUUGGGUAAAACUGGUCAAGAGGACUUGGGAGCCCUGAAAACUUUCUGUGCAGAUGGGAGAGGAAGGGCCAGGUGCCUCGCUGCCAUCACGCUGGGUUCCUGCAUUAUCUGCUACGCCAGCCAGGUCCAAGGGAGUGUGAGAGGUCCCCAGAUGGAAUGAAAACUCAGUGUUAUUUUGGAGACCUCUGGAAAUGAUCUAUUCAGCCCUAUGUUAGCUAGUGACAAAGGCCCGCUCCUCACCUGCUGCACCCACCUGGCGCACGGGAGGACCAGCUCUGGUGACAAAGAGCUCACAGAGACCCUCAGAAGCACGUGUUUGCUCACUUAUUCCCAUAGAUAUCCUCUUCCAGUAGCCAGGAGAACGCAAAGUGACCCCUUGGCCUGUGACCUCAGCUCCUGCCAAGGAGCAGGGCAGCACACGGCCCGGGGGGAGCACAGAGGUGCGCACAUCUCGCUGCAUCUGUACCCCAGGUGGGGCUCGCCAAGACCCCAGGUAUAAUUGGGAUAUCAAGUUUUUAUUAAAAUAUGUGUUAAUUAGGAGAAUAGCAAGCAGAUGCAGUAGAAGGAAAAAGAGCAAGCUCCGUUCUAAGUUAUAAUAAUCAUCGCUCCCAUCUUUGAGAAUAAACUAACAACAGAAAGAUCAAGGGCGAGAUGGCUGCUAGGGCUAUCACACAAACGAAUCCUUUUGCUUUGUCAGUCAUUCUGCACAAUUCUUUUCCUCUCUGAAGCCAAGGAAAAACGCUGCUCUUACAGGAGAAUUUGAUUUGGCGGAUCAGUGGAUAGAGAGAUUUGGUUUGCAUUCUCAGUUACCUCCACUAGCUGGAAAUUCGGCAUCCAAAUAAACUGUAAACAUACAAACAAACAAAAAACGACGACAAAACAACCCCAAGCAGAUACAGCAUUACAAAGCCCAUCCCUGGAGGGCUAGCCCAAAACUCACUCAAGCUCACAAAACCCGCCCCUUGGUGCUCAGCACUGCCCAGAACCCCCCUGGGUUUACCCCUCCUGCGGCUGCAUCCCGCUCUGUGUGCAGCAGGCAGCCCCUUCCUGCGGGUCCCUCUGCCUCACAGAACACGCAAUUACCCCCCAAUUAAAACAAACAAACCAACAAACAGAAAAGGUUAAAGAUACGAGUCACCAUUCAACGCGCCUUUGAGCGCAUCCUAUGCCAAACAAUGCACGCACCGGGACCGCAAUUAAUCGGCGCUCCAUGGAUUCCCUGCAGACGCUGGGUUUAUAACCAAGUUAGCUGGUUCGCUGUAUUUCUCUGGAGUUGGAGGGUGUGAAAAAGACAUUUCCAUUUCAUUGACUAAGUUCCCAAGGGGGGAGUUUAUGAAAGUGCAAGUGCAUAAUUUACUGCCUGACAGGAGAAAGAUGGUAUCUGCUGCUUAAAAAAAAUAGUGUACCCUGAAAAACAGAGUCGUUCCAACACACACUUGUUUUCCGUAAGUACCGUGUUUUAGAAGCAUUUAAUUUAGCUUGGAAGCGCUGUAAAAAAUAUAUGCAUUGUAAAUUGCAGCUGCAUAACGCGAUAUUUAUCAGGUAAUGUCACCGAAUAGUCUCCUGUUGCAAUAUAAAUGCCAAGGCACUUAUGGAAAAUAAAUGUUGAAGGAGAGAGCUUUCUUUUCAAAGUGGAAAACCAUUAUCUCAUCCCAAGUUCAUAAAUAAGGAGCUGAGGGGCUGCUCCCGGGGCCAGCUGUGAGCAGGCCAUGGAUGCUCGGCUCAGCUCAGUGCUGGGGCAGCACCAGGCAGGAAAGGAAGGGAUGCGGAGUGAGGUGGUUCUUGAGACUUCCAGCUUCAUACGAGAUUGAUUUUGGAGAAAAGCGAGCAGGUCUGGCUGUAGGCAGGACGUGGUGCAACGUGUUAGCACACGGUGCCUGCGGGCUGGCUCUUGAAGCCACGUUUUGUCGCACAAAUGCAGGAUCUGGUUUUCAAAGGACGGAGCAGCUCUCAGUGAUCGAGGCCUGGAUCCAGGUGUGCAGGUGCAGCACUGUUUGUGAGGACGGGGUACAAGGGGCCGUUGGGGAGGGGCGGUCAAUGAGGUCUCGGAUCCGGGAUCUCCACCUCGGGCCCCUCUGAAGCAUGAAGCUGCUGAUCCCGUCUGCUCAGCUUGUGCCCACCCCAGAGCAGCCACUGGGACGGCCCGAGCUGAGAGCUCAGGCACCGCUCUUCUGAAAGAAGGAGUGAGAUUCCCAUGCCCCUCUCCUGGCUUCAUGAAUGCGUCCUUGCAAGGCUCGGCUCCUCUUCCAGCUACGGUCUGUGCUGCAUUGUCUGCUCGCUUCUCUCCCUUCCCUAUUUUCUCCCUCUGCCGCUCACUGCAUUUUCUUUUGGACAAUGUAACCCGCUGGUCCUCUGCAGCAGCCGCAUUCGCAGCAAAUUGCUGUUUAUUUCCUCCGCUCACCUCCCUCCAUGGAAGAGCACACUGCAGCCUGCCCCUGUCACAUCGCAUCCCAGGCGACGCGUCAGAAUCUCACACUGGAUGUGCCGAGCUGAGCUGAAUUAUUCGUUUUUCUCCACAAACUUCUCUCUGUCCGCUGCCGCUGUCAGAGCAGCGAUGCACACCAGGCGCUGCUCAGGGGAUCUUUUGCCAAAAGCAUUUUAAAUGACGAAUGGGAGCCACAUUGGGAAUACACAAUUCUGCAGGUGCAGCGUCUAAAAUAAACGACUUUUACCUACGAGGAGCAGCUGGGUGGCUGAAUGAACAGGCAGGACUGCUUCCAGGGCCGCAUUCAGAACCACAGAAUCACGGAAUGGUUCCGUUGGAAGGGACCUGACAGCCCACCCAGUUCCAAGCCAUGGGCAGGGACACCCCCACCAGACCACUGGGUCGCAGCCCCAUCCACGGCCUCGGGCACUGCCAGGGAUGGGGCACCCACAGCUCUGGGCAGCAGUGCCAGCACCUCACCCCCACUGGGGAAAGAAUUUCUUCCUCGGUACUGCUGGGAAAGAUCUCACCCUGAGCAUUGCAAGCACAGAGGACCUCGGAGCUGCACAACACAUUUGUAGAACAGCACAGUGAGGACAGGAUGAAAACUCAUUAAGUCAGCUGUCCUGUAGGAUAGGAUUACAGCCCCUUUGCAGCCAUUGAUUUAAGUUUACCUUUGCUCUUUGGAAAUAAGUCGCUACCCAGUGCUGCUGGGCUGCUGAGCCCUUUUCUGGUGAGCUCCAGGGAUGACAGACAACUGUCAAGGCAACAACUGCAUGCCAGGACUUUAACAAUUGCAUAUGCGAUGCAUUCCCCUUUUACAGUGGUCAUAAUCUUCAAAUCAGUUGGAGCUGGCAAUGAAAGUUUAAUAUUAAUGACUUUCUUAUUACGGAUGGAAAAACCUUUCGGAGCUAAUGAGCAGAAACAGGAGCACUUGGCUCCUACCUGGGGAGGUGACUCUGUGGUCAUCAGCGGUGCUGGGAGCAGGGCUGGGGCGAUGGCUGUGCCCAGGGCUGGUGUGCAGGCUGCGCUGGGUGUACCUGGGUGCAGAAAGGGCUGCAGGGAUCUUGGGGAGAAAGCAGCCAGGAGCCCAACCCGCAGCCACCUGCCAGGUGCAAUGCCUCCCCUGCAAUAAACGUUCCUGGGAGCAGCCUCCAGACAAGGACAGCUGUCAAGGUGUGAAAGAAGGGGACUUCAGUUUUAAUCUUGACAGCCAGGGGAAAACAAGACCCAGCAAGUUUCACGUUUCAUUUUCAAGCAGGUCCUAUGGGCGCACGGAAGAGGGUGAUCAGGGGGACGGCGUGUGCCCUUGGGGUGUUGGGCACACGUCGGGCGCACAGUGCCUCGCUGCCGAGCAAAAAUAAACAAAUCCAGCGAACCACAAAACAGAGCAGCAUAUGAUGGGGACAGGUACUUAUGCAAAUAGCUGUUAACACUCAGCCAGACAGAGCUGAUAAGCUCCCGGGCCAGCUGGAGGCUCCCGCAGCCCGCUGAAGGGGGAGGAGGAGGACAGCUUUAGGAUGACAAUAGGAAACCUAAAAGCAGGAGUGAGGCAGCGCUGGGAAGGCUGCACGGGGCUGCAUCGUUUCCUUACUGACCCGCUGCAGCCCGGCCUGGCCAUCACCCCGCUCCCAGAAGCAUCCCUGUGCUGAUGCUCGCCGGGGUCAGCAGUGCCGUCCCCCUGCACACCCGCGGCAGCGAGGAAGAAACCCUCUGCCGUGUGAGGAUGCAGCACGAGGAGCUCAGCAGUGUCCCCCGAGGCUCGCACAGUCCCCGCAGCGCUGGCCAAGCCCCCCAGGAGCACGGCUGAGGCAAAUCCUCCUGCGAUGCUGCUGGGGAUCCCCGAGGAAGCAGCAUCUCUGCCCUGGCUGGGCUGCUGGUAAUCAGAUAGAAGGGGUUUAAAAUAAUCACGUCUAAGCAGCUGAAAUCCACAUUGGAAUAUGCAAUGGGGUCAGAAGACAAGCGGUGCAACCAGAGGAGCUGGGGGGCACCAGGAGGGGCACAGUGCAUGUCAGAGCCAGUAGCCAGGAGUUCGCUCAGCACCCUGCUCCUCCAGCACUGGGUGUCUGGAAACGUGCUUGGAAGGCUCCACGUGUCUUGGGAUGCUGCUCUUGGAAAGACCAGAAAGGACGAAGCAGGGGGAGGGAAGACAAUACACACCAAGCCAGGGAGCCCCCAGGGCUGGGUUCCUUCUUCUCUCCCCAUUGCAUCCAGCAGCACAGCAGCAACCCGAGCCGGGCAGGAUUCUGCUGCUCCAGAGCUGCGCUGCUCCCAGGGCUCAGUCCCAGCAGCUCCUGGGAUGCAGGAAACUCGCCUGCUCCUGCAGCAUCACUGUGCAUGGGGCCCCAGACCGCAGCCCACGGGGGCUCUCUGCAGCCCCCCCACUGCCUCAAGGAGAGGGGAAAGGAGCAGGAAGGAAAGGAGGGCACUACCACUAAGCGCAGGGAGUAUUUACUUUGCAGAUUUCCAGCUCGGGUUAGUGACAUGACGCUGUGAUGCUGAGAGGCUGGAGCUGGGCCUUCCUGUGGUAUUCCCCUAGGAGCAAAAUAUUACUGCGAUGUAAAACUGAAAAUUGAAACAGCCUGGUGAUUCACCAGAGAAAAUGCCUCUCCCUUUUCCCUAUUCAGUGAGGCAGAGACGAAUGUUGUGAGGAUUGAAAGAAAAACUGAAAAAGCCUUUAAUUAAUCCCUGGAGGCAAAACGAUGCCAGAUAUGGACAGGAUUCCUCCUCUGGAGCAGGGAUCUGGAGCUCCGGCUGCAGCGCGGGGCUGGGGGGGCCGAGGCCACUCCCGAGAGAAGCUGCAGCUCGCAGGGACUUUUGGAACUGCUACCUGCUCCGGGGAAACCUUCCAAGUUCAAGGUCAGGUUUGUUUGUCUUCCAUCCUGACAGACACCGAAUGUUUCGCAAUAUUCAGGAAGUCCCUUUUAUCAGCUCCCAUUCAAUUUAUAAGAUUAAGAGCAUGGAAAAACAAAUACUGCUCCUGGAUGGAAAGUGCUGGCAGCGGCCGGGCCAGUGCUGUGUUUGUGCAAGGACUGUUAAUAGGGCAUCUCCUGCUUCCCCGAGCCAGGAGGGGCUGGCUGCAAAGCGUGCUGCUUCUUGUGGGAAGGGAAGGGAAGGGCUGGGCUGGGGGUAACGGCUCCGCUCACUAAAACCCGAUGUGCAAAACGAUGAGUAAAAUCACUUGGUGGGAUGCUCAGCAAAAGCAGAGCUGCAAGUCCAGCUGUGGAAGGGAGCACAAAACCUGAGCACAUGCCAAGCAUGCACCUUCCUUUUACCCACUGCUUUGUGGAGAGCUGCGUUUCUCCUCGAAGCUCAGAGCUGCAGACUGCAUUUGAUUCUGAUUACAGAGUGGCAGUAAUUAAACCUCGGGAGCAUCAAGUUAUCAUUUUAACGAAAUGCCUGGAUUUUAUCAUGAUGUGAAACUGGGAGCGAGAUUCAGAUCUUCGCAGUAACUAAAAGCUGUCGGCUGUUUCGCAGAUAACUUAUUUCCUCCGCUUACAUACGAGAAAAUCCUCCUGCAGUUCGUUUUUCCCCCUUGUGCAGACGCACACCUUCCUCGAGGAAGUUCAGCAAACGCGCUGCUCAGCCUGCACAACCACCACCUGCAGCGCAGCGUGGCUCUUUAAUAACACUUUCCAGCCAAGGACCGGUAUCGCUGUCUCCACGUAAGAAGCACGCUGCAAUGAGCAGCAGAACGCUGCCGGAGCGAGGUUCGGAUUCUCAGCAGCGCGAGCAGAAGGCAACGAGGCUGCGCCCGCUCCGCUUCGUGCAGGCAGCGCUGUUAGGCGUGUUGGUGAGAUCAGUUAUUCUGAUAAUAACACAGUUGCUUGUACAGGAGAUUGGGCUCCGUCACUUUCAAAGGACAGAUGUUGCCACACGGGCUUUCAUCGUUGGCUUUCUGACUAAAGCACGUCCUCCCAGCAACAGGUUUACCGCAAAACGCUUCCAGCUCUCGACGUCUGCAGAGCAGACCACUGCCAUUUCUGAUUCGAGUGAUGGCCAGAGUCGGAAAGGAUAAACCACCGCAAGACAAGAGUUUCUCAUAGUGUUUGUCUGCUAGAAAGUUCUGGAACUGUCGGGAGAAGCCUCACCUGUGUGAAGCCGCUGUCAGAUGAGGAAGCAUUUGGCAGAGUGAAAAGCCAGGGUGAGAGCCACGCUCUGUGAUGCCAAGUUACCAUGAGUGGAGAAACUGCUCCUUUCAGCCUUCACUUCCAAACCAAGCCCGCGUUACGGCAGCCGAAAUGUCCCGGCGAAGCGAGAAGAGGAAGCUGUGCGCAGAGCCACGGCGAUGUGCAUCUGCUGCUGGAGGAAAGCGGCAGCGCCUUCCCAUCGCAGCGCGCCGGCACUCGGGCCAGCCCUGAAUUACAGGGCUGGAGUGAGAACUUCCCUUGUGGUCGCAAAAAAAGAAAGGCUUUAAAAACACCAUUUUAAAUGGUGCCCAGGGGUGUAUUUAAAGAACAGCUAGCCAAAUUCCACACUGCUCCGGGCCCGCUGGAACGCCGCCGGGCUGCGGCGGGGCUGCAAAGCAGAUAAGAAGGCGCAGCGCUCGGCCAAUUAGUUCCAACCAUCAUUAUAUAAUAUUGAUGUCAUAUUGAAUAUACAUAUAUAUUCUGGCGCAGCGGCUGAAAUUAAAUUGAUUUAUUAAGUUGAUACCACGCGCCGAUGCCAAGCUACCAGGUAAUUGAUCGGCUGCCUCGAAUGAACUCCAACAUGUAAUUUCCAGCGCAAUUUGACUGAUCAGCAAUACCAUAAUUGGUUGCAAAUGUCCUUCCUUCUAUUUGUUUUGUUAAGUGGCUUUUUCAUUAACGCACUGGAGCCAAGUAAAUAAAUGUGACUUUACUAUUGGGCUGGAAGCAGACAAUAGUUGAGAAAUGGAUCCAAACCGGGACAGGGCUGCGCGAUGCUGUACAGCCAGCUCUCGUUUUUUAUAUUUUCCCAGUUUUGCCGUGUUUUGUGUUUGCUUUAGAAUAGAAUUCCUUUUAGCAAAAGGGACUUGGCUGACACUGCGCUCCGCAAAACGCGGAUCUGUUGGAUUUAUGCCCCCAAAUGCCUUAAGUCGACAGGUUUGUUAGGAAGCCAAGCUUAGCUCGUGGCCCUCAGGUGUCCCUGCUGAGAGAGCACACCGAGUCAGGUCCCCAGGAAGGGGCACCUCAGCAGCACACAGAGCCCUGCUGCUGUGCAGAGCGAGCAGGACCCGGGGUGCUCGAUGGGAAUAGAAAGGUGGAAGUACGCUGCAGCAGCCGCAGCUGUCCCAUCGAGCAGCGAUAUACAGCACCAGCUACCUCGUGUCAUUCCCAGUUUCCAGAAUGUGCCCAGAGCAUUGCUUUCUGGGUGUGUAAUUCCUCAGUACAUGCUCCGCAAUGCUUUCCCCAGCUCUUUAUUUUAUCCCCCCCUAUUGAUUACGGCCCAUUUCUGGGUAUAGUCUAAGCGCUGGUAACCGCGUGAGUCUGGGCGAUGAAUUGUGGCUAUCUGGUGACUUCCCAGCAAUGAAACAUUAUUGCAGACCUUUCACUGAGUCACCACAACGCAUUACAGGA